GGUAGUAGACUGCAUAAGUCUCAGCUAAGCCUGAAGGCCUUUAGUUUAUUCUCCCUCUAUCACAUGAUCAACCUGACCUGUAAUCGUCUGAGAAAUCUGGGUCUGGCAGCACGCAAUCCAUCCAACCCUUCCUCCCCCUCCUCUGUCUCGUUCUCUUUCUGUCUUCCCCUCCAAUCUCUCUCUUUCUCUCUCCCUUCCUCUCCACAAAACUAAUAAACUGUAUUUCACUUUCAAGUGAGCAUCAGACAUCUCCAUCUGUCACUGAGAGCUGGUGUUGAUCAGCUGUCCACCAGAGUACUGAAAUCUAAAUCAUCAUUUGUUAUGUUUAGAUUUACGUCAUCAUAAUUCAUCCUACGUUUUCUUAUGAUGUUUGUCUGGAGUAUGGACUGUUCAUCUCUGUCCUCCCUCCCCCUCACAGGACGGCUGCAGCUGUUACUGGCUAACCAGAGGAAACAUUUACACAAGGUUUCAAAAGGACAAGGUCAGGGAGAGUGUGUGUUUUAAAAAGACAGUCGGGUCUUUCAUCUGAUCAUUACAAUGUGAAAGACUCUCUUACCCCAGAGAUACUGUACACACACACACACACACCAAUAAGACAUGGAAGUGCUUUGAUUCUGUGUGUCUAGCCCAUUAGUAAUGUAUUCAUUGAGCAGGGGUGAGAUCUGAACCACUGCACCUCUGUCCCUCGGACACACACAGCUUACUGAUGAACCACAGAUGACUUCCUUCUUGUUGUGAAUGGACCAAUGAGAGUGGCUGGUCCUCGCGGACCAAUGACACCA
Hypomesus transpacificus is the source of this 782-nucleotide long non-coding RNA. RefSeq lists it as uncharacterized. The transcript has 2 exons. The record is from RefSeq and is a predicted model, not a curated record. NCBI's taxonomy places the organism in Eukaryota, Metazoa, Chordata, Actinopteri, Osmeriformes, Osmeridae.